CCUACGGGAGGCAGCAGUGGGGGAAUUUUGGACAAUGGGCGCAAGCCUGAUCCAGCCAUGCCGCGUGUGGGAAGAAGGCCUUCGGGUUGUAAACCACCUUUUGUCAGGGAAGAAACGGUUUGUCCUAAUACGGCGGACUAAUGACGGUACCUGAAGAAUAAGCACCGGCUAACUACGUGCCAGCAGCCGCGGUAAUACGUAGGGUGCAAGCGUUAAUCGGAAUUACUGGGCGUAAAGCGUGCGCAGGCGGCUUUGCAAGACAGAUGUGAAAUCCCCGGGCUCAACCUGGGAACUGCAUUUGUGACUGCAUGGCUAGAGUACGGUAGAGGGGGAUGGAAUUCCGCGUGUAGCAGUGAAAUGCGUAGAUAUGCGGAGGAACACCGAUGGCGAAGGCAAUCCCCUGGACCUGUACUGACGCUCAUGCACGAAAGCGUAGGGGAGCAAACAGGAUUAGAUACCCUGGUAGUCCACGCCCUAAACGAUGUCAACUGGUUGUUGGACGGCUUGCUGUUCAGUAACGAAGCUAACGCGUGAAGUUGACCGCCUGGGGAGUACGGCCGCAAGGUUGAAACUUAAGGAUUAGACGGNGUGAGAGAGCGACGACGACGACGAGGGAGGAGG
Molecule: ribosomal RNA, 621 nt
Filed under: uncultured bacterium
Lineage: Bacteria
Description: bacterial SSU rRNA
Rfam family: Bacterial small subunit ribosomal RNA
Source: RNAcentral